RNAcentral lists this ribosomal RNA (441 nucleotides) under uncultured bacterium. RNAcentral's name for it is "bacterial SSU rRNA". It matches the Rfam family "Bacterial small subunit ribosomal RNA", at positions 28 to 507 of the family's 1533-position model. The record is from RNAcentral.
GAUGAACGCUGGCGGUAUGCCUAACACAUGCAAGUCGUACGAGAGUUUUUAACUCUAGUGGCGGACGGGUGAGUAACACGUGAGAAUUUGCCUUUAGGAGGGGGAUAACAAUUGGAAACGAAUGCUAAUACCCCAUAUGCUUUUGAGUGAAAUGGAUUUUAUCCGCCUAGAGAGAAGCUCGCGGCUGAUUAGCUUGUUGGUAAGGUAAGAGCUUACCAAGGCGACGAUCAGUAUCUGGUUUGAGAGGACGAUCAGACACACUGGAACUGAGACACGGUCCAGACUCCUACGGGAGGCAGCAGUGGGGAAUUUUCCGCAAUGGGCGAAAGCCUGACGGAGCAAUACCGCGUGAGGGAAGAAUGCCUAUGGGUUGUAAACCUCUUUUUUCAGGGAGGAAUCAAAUGACGUGUACCUGAAGAAUAAGCAUCGGCUAACUCCGUG